GAUGAACGCUGGCGGCGUGCUUAACACAUGCAAGUCGAACGGAAAGGCCCCAGCUUGCUGGGGUACUCGAGUGGCGAACGGGUGAGUAACACGUGGGUGAUCUGCCCUGCACUUUGGGAUAAGCUUGGGAAACUGGGUCUAAUACCGAAUAUGAUCACUUCUUGGAUGUUGUGGUGGAAAGCUUUUGCGGUGUGGGAUGAGCCUGCGGCCUAUCAGCUUGUUGGUGGGGUAAUGGCCUACCAAGGCGGCGACGGGUAUCCGGCCUGAGAGGGUGUACGGACACAUUGGGACUGAGAUACGGCCCAGACUCCUACGGGAGGCAGCAGUGGGGAAUAUUGCACAAUGGGCGCAAGCCUGAUGCAGCGACGCCGCGUGGGGGAUGAAGGCCUUCGGGUUGUAAACUCCUUUCGCUAUCGACGAAGCCACUUGUGGUGACGGUAGGUAGAUAAGAAGCACCGGCUAACUACGUGCCAGCCGCCGCCGCUG
Molecule: ribosomal RNA, 486 nt
Filed under: uncultured bacterium
Lineage: Bacteria
Description: partial 16S ribosomal RNA
Rfam family: Bacterial small subunit ribosomal RNA
Source: RNAcentral